GAUGAGAACGCAGCGAAAUGCGAUAAGUAAUGUGAAUUGCAGAAUUCAGUGAAUCAUCGAAUCUUUGAACGCAUCUUGCGCUCCUUGGUAUUCCUUGGAGCAUGCCUGUUUGAGUAUCAUGAGCAAAUCUCAAAGUCAAUUCCUUUUGUUAAUUCAAUUGGUUUUGCUUUGGACUUGGAGGUCUUGCAGAUUUCACAGUCUGCUCCUCUUAAAUGCAUUAGCUGGAUCUCAGUGAUUAUGCUUGGUUCCACUCGGCGUGAUAAGUAUCACUCGCUGAGGACACUGUUAAAAAGGUGGCCAGGAAAAUACUGAUUGAGCCGCUUCUAACGGUCUAUUAAGUUAGACAAUUACCCUUAAGUUUGAUCUCAAAUCAGGUAGGACUACCCGCUGAACUUAAGCAUAUCAAUAAGCGGAGGA
This 417-nucleotide unclassified non-coding RNA is filed under the name soil metagenome. RNAcentral's name for it is "partial contains 5.8S ribosomal RNA, internal transcribed spacer 2, and large subunit ribosomal RNA". The stretch from base 5 to 119 matches the Rfam family "5.8S ribosomal RNA", at positions 40 to 154 of the family's 154-position model. The record is from RNAcentral.